AUUGAACGCUGGCGGCAGGCCUAACACAUGCAAGUCGAACGGUAACAGGAAGCAGCUUGCUGCUUCGCUGACGAGUGGCGGACGGGUGAGUAAUGUCUGGGAAGCUGCCUGAUGGAGGGGGAUAACUACUGGAAACGGUAGCUAAUACCGCAUAAUGUCGCAAGACCAAAGAGGGGGACCUUCGGGCCUCUUGCCAUCGGAUGUGCCCAGAUGGGAUUAGCUUGUUGGUGGGGUAACGGCUCACCAAGGCGACGAUCCCUAGCUGGUCUGAGAGGAUGACCAGGCACACUGGAACUGAGACACGGUCCAGACUCCUACGGGAGGCAGCAGUGGGGAAUAUUGCACAAUGGGCGCAAGCCUGAUGCAGCCAUGCCGCGUGUAUGAAGAAGGCCUUCGGGUUGUAAAGUACUUUCAGCGGGGAGGAAGGGAGUAAAGUUAAUACCUUUGCUCAUUGACGUUACCCGCAGAAGAAGCACCGGCUAACUCCGUG
This 490-nucleotide ribosomal RNA is filed under the name uncultured bacterium. Its description in RNAcentral is "partial 16S ribosomal RNA". It matches the Rfam family "Bacterial small subunit ribosomal RNA", at positions 30 to 507 of the family's 1533-position model. The record is from RNAcentral.